This 84-nucleotide microRNA precursor is filed under the name Oryctolagus cuniculus (rabbit). Its description in RNAcentral is "mir-544 microRNA precursor family". It matches the Rfam family "mir-544 microRNA precursor family". Lineage: Eukaryota; Metazoa; Chordata; Mammalia; Lagomorpha; Leporidae. The record is from Rfam by way of RNAcentral.
AUCACCAAGGCAUCUUGGUAGAAAGCAGAUUCUGAUUCCGGGACCAAGAUUCUGCAUUUUUAGCAAGUUCUUGAGUGCUGCCGC